UACGAAGGGUGCAAACGUUGCUCGGAAUUAUUGGGCGUAAAGAGCUCGUAGGCGGUUUGUCGCGUCUGCUGUGAAAACUCGGGGCUUAACCCCGGGCCUGCAGUGGGUACGGGCAGACUAGAGUGCGGUAGGGGAGACUGGAAUUCCUGGUGUAGCGGUGAAAUGCGCAGAUAUCAGGAGGAACACCGGUGGCGAAGGCGGGUCUCUGGGCCGUAACUGACGCUGAGGAGCGAAAGCGUGGGGAGCGAACAGG
Molecule: ribosomal RNA, 253 nt
Filed under: uncultured bacterium
Lineage: Bacteria
Description: partial 16S ribosomal RNA
Rfam family: Bacterial small subunit ribosomal RNA
Source: RNAcentral